UUCCGGUCACAAGGCGGAUCCACAAAACCUGGAAGUUUUGCGUUCCUCAUUCAACUGUGACAUUACGAAGGUUUACCGUUUGAAAUAAUGUCACAGAUAUACAUAUUUAAUAACUACCGUGUUUAGCUUUCAAAGAUAACAGGAUCAGUUCUUUCUGAACUGUAAAUAAAGUGCAAGACAGGUGAGGUACAGGUUCAGGUGAGUGAUGCCUGUGUGUUCUAGCACUGACUGUCCCCAUCUACAGUGUGUAGGCGAGAUCACCAAGGAAGAACUCAUCCACAAGUCACAUGGCCAGUGCCAAGACUGCAAAGUUGGAGGACCAAAUCUUUGGGCGUGUCUGGAGAAUGGCUGUGUGUAUGUGGGCUGUGGAGAAUCGCACACUGACCACAGCACCAUCCACUCACAGGAGACGGGCCACAACCUGACAGUGAACCUGACCACUCUGAGGGUGUGGUGUUAUGCCUGUGGGAAAGAGGUGUUCCUGGAGCAUCACCUGGGCCAUCACUGCCCUGUCCCCAGCACCAAGACCCUCACAUCACCUCUCACCAACAACACACAGGAGGGUAGCAGGGUGCUGGGCCGCUCCACCUCUCUGAGACUGCCCCCUACUGGUGGCUGUGAAGACCUGGGCAUGGAGACUGAGGAGGAGGAAGAGCUUCGCCCCAGAGGUCUGACGGGACUGAAGAACAUAGGAAACACCUGCUUUAUGAACGCAGCCCUGCAGGCCCUCUCUAACUGUCCUCCUCUAACCCAGUUCUUUGUGGAGUGUGGAGGUCUGGUGAGGACAGACAAGAAGCCUGCUCUGAGUAAGAGCUACCAGAAACUGGUGGCAGACCUCUGGCACAAGAACAGGCCAUCCUAUGUCGUCCCUACCAGUCUGUUCCAGGGGAUCAAGGCUGUUAACCCCAUGUUCAGAGGAUACUCACAACAGGACUCUCAGGAGUUCCUGCGCUGUCUGAUGGACCAGCUCCACGAGGAGCUGAAGGAGCCUCUGGCCGAGCCCCUCGACAACGACCAACACUCGCACGCCAUCGCCAUGGACGACGACGGCCCCGACGACGACAGCCCCAGCCAGUCGGACAACGACUUUCAGUCAUGCCAGUCGUGCGAGCGGGUGGACAGAGAGGGUCAGGGUGGGAGCGGGGACGGGCAGGCGGCGCCGCCGCCAAGGGAGGAGUCUAAAGAGGCGGAGAUGCUGAUCCCCGACGGGCCUGACUCCUCCCACUCCUUCGGCCAGACCAAUAGGGAGUGGCAGAAAGAGAAGAACCUGAUCAACGACCUCUACCGGGGGUCAGGGGCCGCGGGGUCAGCGGGAGACCUGGAUAAAGACGUGAAUACCGCUCCCGCGGUGGCCACGCCCAUCGUCAGCAGCCAGGGGACAAUCAAAGUCCAGAUACAGAGCCGCAUGGCUGAGCUGCAGGUCGUGUCCAGCAGCACCCGGACCCAGAGUCCAGUCCAUAUGGAGGGACACUGCCUCACCAAGAUGUCCUCCAGUCCCCCAAGACUAACUCUGUCUGGCCAGGAAUGUCCUCCAGCCAUAAGAAAGUGUCCUCGUUCUCCUCAACAAAGAGCCAGAAGAAGUACCGUAGUGUGAUAUCAGACGUGUUUGAUGGGACCAUUGUCAGCUCAGUACAGUGUCUGACCUGCGAUCGGGUGUCAGUGACCCUCGAGAACUUCCAGGACUUGUCCCUGCCCAUCCCAGGUAAGGAGGACCUGGCUAAACUCCACUCCUCCUCCCAUCAGACAUCUCUGAUCAAGGCCGGCUCCUGUGGAGAGGCCUACGCAGCCCAGGGAUGGGUGGCCUUCGUCAUGGAAUACAUCAAGAGCUGGUGGUGGGGUCCUGUGGUGACCUUACAGGACUGUUUGGCUGCCUUCUUCACCAGAGACGAGCUGAAAGGUGAUAACAUGUAUAGCUGUGAGAAAUGCAAGAAAUUACGGAACGGAGUGAAAUUCUGUAAAGUUCAGAGUGUACCAGAGAUCUUGUGUAUCCACCUGAAGCGGUUUAGACACGAGCUGAUGUUCUCCACUAAGAUCGGGACUCACGUCUCUUUCCCAUUGGAGGGCCUGGACCUGCAGCCCUUCCUGGCCAAGGACAGCUCCGCCCACACCACCUCCUACGACCUGCUGUCCGUCAUCUGUCACCAUGGCACCGCCAGCAGUGGCCACUACAUAGCCUACUGUAGGAAUGACCUGAACAACCUGUGGUAUGAGUUUGACGACCAGAGCGUCACCGAGGUGUCAGAAUCCUGCGUCCAGAACGCUGAGGCCUACGUUCUGUUCUACAAGAAGAGCAACGAAGAGGCGCUGAAGGAGAGGAGGAGGGUGACGGGUCUCCUCGGCGUGACGGAGCCCAGUCUGCUACAGUUCUACGUCUCCAGACAGUGGCUCAACAAGUUCAAGACCUUCGCUGAGCCUGGACCUAUCUCCAAUGACGACUUCCUCUGCUCACACGGAGGCGUGCCGCCUGCCAAGGCAGUGUUCAUCGAUGACCUGGUAGUGAUGCUGCCGCAGAACGCGUGGGACCACCUCUACAGCAGGUACGGAGGCGGGCCUGCUGUCAACCACCUGUACGUGUGUCACACUUGUCAGACCGAGAUUGAGAAGCUGGAGAAGAGGCGCAGGACAGAGCUGGACAUGUUUAUCCGGCUGAACAAGGCGUUCCAAGAGGAGGAGUCUCCAGUGAUCAUCUACUGCAUCAGCAUGCAGUGGUUCAGAGAGUGGGAGGGCUUCGUCAAGGGAAAGGACAAUGAUCCACCGGGACCAAUCGAUAACUCUAAGAUCGCGAUCAACAAGAAUGGCCAUCUAACACUCAGACAAGGAGCUGACUCGGGACAGAUCUCUGAGGAGACGUGGAACUUUCUCCACUCCAUCCACGGAGGAGGACCGCUGGUAACAGUCCGGCCCAACGCCUCUCACCCUGAACUAGAGGCCUCCUCGCAGUCUAAGGAGAAGAUAUAGGUGGAGACGUGCUACGUUUAAAUCUACCUACAUUACCAACCUCUUCACAGGAAACAACCUACCUACUGUACCAACCCCCUAACAGGAACUACCUAACUACCAACCCCCUAACAGGAACUACCAACCCCCUAACAGGAAACUACUUAACUACCAACCCCUUAACAGGAAACUACCAACCCCCUAACAGGAAACUACCAACCCCCUAACAGGAAACUACCUAACUACCAACCCCCUAACAGGAAACUACCUAACUACCAACCCCUAACAGGAACUACCAACCACCUAACAGGAAACUACCUACCUACCAACCCCUAACAGGAACUACCAACCCCCUAACAGGAACUACCAACCCCUAACAGGAACUACCAACCCCCUAACAGGAACUACCAACCCCCUAACAGGAAACUACCAACCCCCUAACAGGAACUACCAACCCCCUAACAGGAAACCCCCAACACCAGCCCUGAGUAAAACAACAACUAAAGCCUUUUAUUUUGCACUUUACUUUUUAUUUAAAAAGCAUUCGAGCAAAGGAUUUCCCUUCCUUGACCACCAUAAAAUGAACAGCCCUUCUUGACAACUGGGCAGAAGAAUAAACAUGUCUGAAAAUAACAUGAUGACAUGUUUCUACAUAAAUGUAUAAAUAUAUAAUUUCUAAUAGCACUGUAGAAUAAUACAUGGGAACUGUGUCUGGUAAUUUCCAGAACCAAGCAUUUAUUCAUUUUGUUUGCAGGUAAAAACUUCUUUUUUUUCCCCUGAAUGCAGCAGUUUUUAUAUUUUUUUAUUUUUUACUUCUCUCUCUUGAACCAAAAUUGAGACAAUGUCACUCUAUAUCAGGGAUGGGAAACUUUAAUGGGGUGGGGGCCACAAAGAAAUCGGAACUCAUUAUGAGGGGCCGUAGUGGUUCAUGGGUCUGCAUACCCACAUCCAUACCCACACAUGCAAUCAGAGCCGGCCCUAUCCUUUUGGGGGCCCUAAGUGAAAUUUUGAUGACCCCCCCCCCCUUGCGAGGAAAACAUUUUUGUGGCACCCUUCUUGACAGCGGAGAGAAAGAAUGUAUGUUUUAGUUUAUUUCCUGCAAUUCUACACAUUUUGCCUUGGGGCGAAGAGAAAAUACUGCAGUUUUAAAGCAAGUUUGCUGCAAUUCUACACAUUUUGCCAUGGGGCGGUGAGAACAUUUUUUUCAAUUUUAUAACAAAUUUCAUGCAAUUCUAAUUUUAAAAAAAUGCAAUGGGGCAGAGAGAACAUGUUUCAGUUUUACAGCUAAUUUCCUGCGAUUUCUACACAUUUUGCCAUAGGGUGGAGAUAAAUAUUUGUAGUUUUUAAAUAUGAUAUCUGAGUAAUUAACAAAAUCAAUGGAGGCCCCCCUGGUCAGUAAUUCCACCAUGAUUACUACAAGUUUAGAUAGCUGGCUGGACUAAUUUACCAAUCUAAACAUUUUUAGCUGAUAUGGGCUAAUUGAGUGACUGUCAGUGACGGACGGACAUGAAAAGGGAAAAACUGCUGAUGCACUAACUAACAUUUUGUAAUUCCACCUUGGUGUAAUCUACUAUUCUACCUAGCAACAGUAAAUUGAGACCCCGACUGAGUUCCCUGGAGAAGGGGGGGUUCUAUAUGAUGUCACUCUUAUGUCUUGUGUGUCGCAAAAGAAAAAAAGAAGAAUCACAAUGCAUCUUACUGUAGAUAUCAAAAUUGUUCUCUUUUUUUUAAUACCUGUUCUAAGAAAAUAACAUAUUGUCGAAGAAGUGAAUGGUUAUAAAAAAUAAAAUAAAAAGUUCAAGCUCUUACAUUUUUCCUUAAAGUGAAGAAGAGAAAUCUCCGUCCACACAUUUUAGAGACCGUCCUCUUGUUUGCAGACAAAAUGUAGCUGUUUUUAAAGCUAAUUUCCUACAAUGCUACAGAUUUUUGCCAUGCUGUGUUCUUGUGCUAUCUGAUCAAACAUUAUAACAGAAUCAAUGGGGACUCCAUACCAUGACAUUUUGGGAAUUUUUGAUUCUCCUGUUUUUUGUUGUUGUGGUUUUUGUUGGAGUGGCGGCAAGUAAAUGAAUAUAGGGGAAACACUGCUAAGGAUAUGUGUUUACACAGGCAGCCCUAAUUCUUAUCUUUUUACACUAAUUGGUCUUUUGACCAAUCAGAUCAGGUAUUUUGCCAAUAAUUGGUCAAAAGAUCAGAAUUGGGCUGCCUGUGUAAACUAAGUAGUCUCAGGAAGGGAUUUGUAUGUUUUUUUUUUUUUACUAUAGUCUGGUUAAGAUAAGUGGCAUGUUCACACAAUGUCUGAUGUGUAUUUGAAUGUACUAGUGAGUCCAGGGGUGUAUUCAUUAGGAUCUAAAAGGAAUGAAACGGGGAGGGGGACACACCUAUGUGAAUUUAUCCAAUAUAAACUGUUGUUUCCGUUGUAGAACCUGAUGUGUGACUAAUGAAUACACCCCUUGUGAACUACAGUCCCAGAACUUCCUUCCUCUACCCCCAUUGGCCAGACCAGCGGGUGGAUUUACUGUGUAUCCCAAAUGGUACCCUAUUCCCUAUAUAGUGCGACGCUUUUGACCAGGGUCCCAUGGGGCAUAGUGUUCCAUUUGGGAGGCAUCUAUAUGAUGUUAGACUUUUUUUAAUUAAUUUUUUUAUAAAAUAUUUGGCUGGCAGGCAUGCAUGCUUUUAGAGGGGACCCCACUCACUCAGCCAGGGUUGGGGUCAAUCCCAUUUCAAUUCAGGAAGUGAACUGAAAUUCCAAAUAAAAAAAAAUUCAAUGUGAGAAAAAUGUGGAAUUGAAAUGAAAUGGCAAUUGACCCCAACCCUGACGUACGAAUGAUUUGAAAAACUUGAUGGCCACAUGUCACAUUAAAUUACAUGUAAGCUGCCCACUCACUGCAUAAUAUGUACACAAUGAAUCACAAACUUCUGUGGCUAUCUUUGUCUUUGAAAUGUACAGAAUUACAUAACAAGCUAUCAAGUCCUAAUAUUCAUCAGUUUUGUCAGUGGAAGGAAGCAUUAACUUGUGUGUAAGAGCAUGGUGUUGCUUUUGGUAUGUGGUCACUGAAGACCGAAGAAUGCUGUAGGUAUAUGGAAUACUGCAUCCUGAUUUACUAAACGCAUCUGUUCUGAUUCGGAAUGGCUGAUAUGAUUCUGGUUCUAUUAAACACAUCUGUUCUGAUUCGGAAUGGCUGAUAUGAUUCUGGUUCUAUUAAACACAUCUGUUCUGAUUCGGAA
This is a non-coding RNA of Salmo salar (Atlantic salmon), 6162 nucleotides long. Lineage: Eukaryota; Metazoa; Chordata; Actinopteri; Salmoniformes; Salmonidae. The record is from RefSeq and is a predicted model, not a curated record.